CGUUAGUUAACCAUUGGUCAACCCAUGGAGCUAUAAAACAAAGUCCAUGCGCGAACUUGGCCUUGAUGCCACAUUUAUUUAGGGACAAAGCAAAGAGCUAUCUUUGGGACAAAGGCUGAUCAUGCUGAUGGCGUCGAGUGAUACCUUGGCACAAUAGACAAACUAGGCUAUAUUAAAGUGGAGCGAAGGAUCAUACCAGCUGAACACACAAGUGUGCAGCUAGCUGUAGCCGGUGGUGGAGUCCGGAGUUGCAGUAGUUGAUUCGGCGGGCUUUCUCACGUCAAUUAAGUGUGACUAGAUUCUAAGCCAUGGCUUUCCAAAAGUACAUCGAGUUGCCCAACAAAGCGAAAAUGCCAAUUUUGGGGUUGGGUACUUGGCAGUCCAAGCAUGGUGAAGUGACAAAUGCCGUCAAGGCUGCGCUGGAGGUUGGCUACCGUCAUCUGGACUGUGCCAUGAUAUACGAGAACGAAGCGGAAGUGGGUGCCGGCUUGAAGGCCAAGAUCGAUGACGGCACGGUGAAACAAGAGGAUGUAUUCAUCACCAGCAAGCUGUGGUGUACGAUGCACCACCCCGACGAUGUGGCAAAGGCCUGCCAAAUGACUCUGGAUCAACUUGGGGUGGCCUACCUGGACCUUUAUCUGAUGCACUGGCCGAUGGCUUUCAAGAGGGGGGAAGUACUCUUUCCAGUGGAUGAAAACGGUGUGUUGCAGGUGGAUGACAUUGAAUACACCGACACCUGGCUCGCGAUGGAGCAGCUGGUGGAAAAAGGCAUGUGCAAGGCCAUCGGCUUGUCCAACUUCAACCUGAAGAUGAUCAAGGAGAUUCAGGCUAUCAACAAGGUCCCGAUAGCCAACUACCAGAUUGAGCUUCAUCCUUGGCUGACCCAGGAAGAGCUUGUACAAUACUGCCAGGAUAACAACAUCUCCGUCACGGCAUACAGCCCCCUUGGCUCACCAGAUCGUCCAUGGCUGAAAGACACCGACCCUAAUCUGAUGGCUGACCCCGAGGUGAUGCGAAUCGCCGAGGCCAAGGGGAAGAGCCCUGCUCAGGUCUUGAUCCGCUUCGCUCUCCAGCGAGGCAUCAUCUGCAUCCCCAAGAGUGUCACACCCUCCAGGAUCAAGGAUAACUUUGAGGCUCUAGAUUUUGAGCUGAGUGCCACUGAUAUGAAAGACCUGAUGGCCCUCAACAAGAACUAUAGAGUCUGCGCGGCAGAAUGGAUCAAGCAUCGUCAUCACCCCUUCACCCCACUUGCCUCGUAAAUGAAGACAAUAGAAGGAACACAUCACAGCUGAGAUAUGGAAGUCUCAAAAACUUCAAUUUUUUUUCUACUGUGAUCACCAAAGCUCUAUCAUACGCAGAUUAAAGUUUAAUUUCCAAAAACUUGUAUCAAUCAUUAAUGUAGCUGUGAUUUUAAUUAUUUCACUGAACAAAACUAGGAUUGUGAACAUUAUUGGCCACAACUUGCUGUGCCCUCCAACACUAUUGAAUCAAUUACAAGCAUCGUUUGUUUAUAUUCCGUUGAAUAACGAGUACCCUCAUUUUGUUUUGUAUACACAAUUUCUUAUACAGUUCAAUGUCCAUUAAAAUGGGUUGGUUUGCUCAGAUCGGCGGUGUAUUUAUCUAAAUUUAGGCUAUACAUCAAACUCCUGAACUAUUCAUGACAUGUACAGUGUGGAACUAGGAUUAAAGUAUUAAGUCCAAAUAUGAACUUCAGGUUUUUUACACGACAUUAACACUGACAGUCCUGAUUUCUCCAAUUUUGAAACCCUCGCCCCCAAGUAGUUCUCUGCUAGAUCCCUGCUAAAUUCAACGGAGUCCGACGGUUACCCAUAUGAGUUUCCUGCUCAAUCCAACGCAGUCCCAUGCAACCCAACAGGCCCAGUUGUUGGAUACCUGAAAUUAUAAAAUGACUGGCAUGCUCAAUCCAACAGAAUCCAACAGAAUCCAACAGAAUCCAAAAGUGCCUUAUUUUUCUGUUUGCUGCUGGAUCCAACAGAGUCCAACUUGGCUUUAUUUACCAAAACCCAACAGAAUCCGAUUGGGGUGUUGUCACUUGCCUGCUGAAUCUAACAGAUUUCAACAGGAAUAUGUAGAAGGGUUUUACUGCUCAAUCCAACAGGAUCCAACGGAAACGUAAAAAUAGUUGGAUCCUGUUGGAUUGAGCAGGGUUAGGUAAAGAUUUUUCACACAUCCGCAGGGUGUUAUGGUUUGAGUGCUGUAUAGACAUUCUGAGAAGAAAAAUAAUUCUGGGAAAGAAACUGCUCACACUUAAUUUUGUUUAGGCCACUGUCAACUUUUCUUUAAUAAUUAUGUGAUCAAAGUGCAACUAUGUGAAAUUCCAAAAUUGCUGAACAGUAAAGUUGUGAUGAGAUAUACUAUAUUUUGUACGAAUAUUUUCAGAAGUGUUCAGUUUAGGAUUAGAUACGAAUUAUGUUCUGGACAAUUUGGUGAAUGGUGGGCUUUUUAAUUUCUUCUGCUGAUUUUAGAUUUCAAUUCUUUCAGUUUAGUUAUAAUGCUUAAAAAUAGUCUUUUUUUUAAAUCGUACUUCAACACAAAAUUGAUAAAAAAAAGAAGCAAUGAAGCAUGUAUCGUUUACACUGUUGUUUAACAACACGUAAAAUGUUUUAUGACGUGUGUGAUGUUCCUUUGCCCGAGACCAACUUGGACAUGUCAGAGGAAACUAUGCAUUGUAUGCAUUAACACCUUUUCAGAAUAUAUGAGAA
Molecule: unclassified non-coding RNA, 2723 nt
Filed under: Patiria miniata (bat star)
Lineage: Eukaryota; Metazoa; Echinodermata; Asteroidea; Valvatida; Asterinidae
Description: aldo-keto reductase family 1 member B1-like, transcript variant X1
Source: RNAcentral